UUAAAGGUAACGUGCAAAAUUUUACAACCACCCCAUUAUAAAUAAAGUUUUAUAUAAAAGCGGACAACAACGAACAAAAUUAAAGAUUCAACUUAAAUUCUUCCUGAGCCUCAAUGAUUACUUUCUUUAUCAUAUUGGAAUACAUUUGUGGAUUCUUUUUAUCCGAUGGUUUACUUGGAGGUGGGGGAAAUGACAAAUUUGUUGGUGGUGGGUUGUAAUAAUCCCUAGAUAUAGCUCCUGUAUGUGGACCUACACGUGGAGUUUGAGGUGCUGUCUUCGGUUUAUCCGCAGUUCGAGGAAGACCCAUCAUCUUACUUUCUUCUCCUGUUUCCCUAUUUCAAAAAUGCUUAAAUAAAUAAAACUUUAUCAUGAAUUAUAAUAAAUAAAAUAAAACUUUGAA
This is a long non-coding RNA of Lucilia sericata (common green bottle fly), 400 nucleotides long. RefSeq lists it as uncharacterized. The transcript is spliced from 3 exons. The record is from RefSeq and is a predicted model, not a curated record. NCBI's taxonomy places the organism in Eukaryota, Metazoa, Arthropoda, Insecta, Diptera, Calliphoridae.